UCCCCGACGGUGGGCACAGGAACGUGAACCUUAGGCAACACAACGCACCCAUCAACAAACAUCACUAUCCAUUUUCGUUCAAGGAUGCAAUGUACGAGAGCUUUGUAGAACAAGAUGUGGAGGAGACAACCCACUAUGCCGUGGGUUCCCAUGAAGGUUGAUCAAGGUGUUCAUCGUCCGGCUGGAAGACAUUAAAGCAAGCGCUUUAAGGGAGGCAACCCAUUUAUUCUGCUUGAUUGUCAAUUUUAUUACUUGUUUAAUUAUUUUGGUUAUGACUUUCUAUUUUGAAACAUUAACAAAUAUGCAAAGGAUUUUAACAUUAAACUUCAUGGAAAUGAACAGGAAACUGGAAAAUAAAGAAACAUAGCAUAAUACAAGAGGGAGCCUUCACAAAGGCUGCGUGGGAGAGGUUGCAGUAGUCGGCGGAGU
RNAcentral lists this long non-coding RNA (429 nucleotides) under Malus domestica (apple). RNAcentral describes it as "long non-coding RNA (MDOM_LNC006761)". The record is from RNAcentral. Lineage: Eukaryota; Viridiplantae; Streptophyta; Magnoliopsida; Rosales; Rosaceae.